CCUACGGGCGGCAGCAGUGAGGAAUAUUGGUCAAUGGGCGCGAGCCUGAACCAGCCAAGUCGCGUGAGGGAAGACGGUCCUAUGGAUUGUAAACCUCUUUUGUCGGGGAGCAAAAGACGCCACGCGUGGCGUUCCGCGCGUACCCGACGAACAAGCAUCGGCUAACUCCGUGCCAGCAGCCGCGGUAAUACGGAGGAUGCGAGCGUUAUCCGGAUUUAUUGGGUUUAAAGGGUGCGCAGGCGGAAGAUCAAGUCAGCGGUAAAAUUGAGAGGCUCAACCUCUUCGAGCCGUUGAAACUGGUGGUCUUGAGUGAGUGAGAGGUAGGCGGAAUGCGUGGUGUAGCGGUGAAAUGCAUAGAGAUCACGCAGAACUCCGAUUGCGAAGGCAGCAUACCGGAGCUCAACUGACGCUCAGGCACGAAAGUGUGGGUAUCGAACAGGAUUAGAUACCCGUGUAGUC
This 459-nucleotide ribosomal RNA is filed under the name uncultured bacterium. Its description in RNAcentral is "partial 16S ribosomal RNA". It matches the Rfam family "Bacterial small subunit ribosomal RNA", at positions 338 to 795 of the family's 1533-position model. The record is from RNAcentral.